This 29-nucleotide small RNA is filed under the name Bombyx mori (domestic silkworm). Its description in RNAcentral is "piRNA piR-bmo-1738488". The record is from RNAcentral. Lineage: Eukaryota; Metazoa; Arthropoda; Insecta; Lepidoptera; Bombycidae.
UGUUCCAAGCCGACCGCCACGAACGUUGC